GGGUUCCUGUCCAACGUUAAUCGGGGCAGGGUGAGUCGACCCCUAAGGCGAGGCCGAAAGGCGUAGUCGAUGGGAAACAGGUUAAUAUUCCUGUACUUGGUGUUACUGCGAAGGGGGGACGGAGAAGGCUAUGUUGGCCGGGCGACGGUUGUCCCGGUUUAAGCGUGUAGGCUGGUUUUCCAGGCAAAUCCGGAAAAUCAAGGCUGAGGCGUGAUGACGAGGCACUACGGUGCUGAAGCGACAAAUGCCCUGCUUCCAGGAAAAGCCUCUAAGCAUCAGGUAACAUCAAAUCGUACCCCAAACCGACACAGGUGGUCAGGUAGAGAAUACCAAGGCGCUUGAGAGAACUCGGGUGAAGGAACUAGGCAAAAUGGUGCCGUAACUUCGGGAGAAGGCACGCUGAUAUGUAGGUGAAGCGACUUGCUCGUGGAGCUGAAAUCAGUCGAAGAUACCAGCUGGCUGCAACUGUUUAUUAAAAACACAGCACUGUGCAAACACGAAAGUGGACGUAUACGGUGUGACGCCUGCCCGGUGCCGGAAGGUUAAUUGAUGGGGUUAGCGGUAACGCGAAGCUCUUGAUCGAAGCCCCGGUAAACGGCGGCCGUAACUAUAACGGUCCUAAGGUAGCGAAAUUCCUUGUCGGGUAAGUUCCGACCUGCACGAAUGGCGUAAUGAUGGCCAGGCUGUCUCCACCCGAGACUCAGUGAAAUUGAACUCGCUGUGAAGAUGCAGUGUACCCGCGGCAAGACGGAAAGACCCCGUGAACCUUUACUAUAGCUUGACACUGAACAUUGAGCCUUGAUGUGUAGGAUAGGUGGGAGGCUUUGAAGUGUGGACGCCAGUCUGCAUGGAGCCGACCUUGAAAUACCACCCUUUAAUGUUUGAUGUUCUAACGUGGGCCCCUUACCGGGGUUGCGGACAGUGUCUGGUGGGUAGUUUGACUGGGGCGGUCUCCUCCUAAAGAGUAACGGAGGAGCACGAAGGUUGGCUAAUCCUGGUCGGACAUCAGGAGGUUAGUGCAAUGGCAUAAGCCAGCUUGACUGCGAGCGUGACGGCGCGAGCAGGUGCGAAAGCAGGUCAUAGUGAUCCGGUGGUUCUGAAUGGAAGGGCCAUCGCUCAACGGAUAAAAGGUACUCCGGGGAUAACAGGCUGAUACCGCCCAAGAGUUCAUAUCGACGGCGGUGUUUGGCACCUCGAUGUCGGCUCAUCACAUCCUGGGGCUGAAGUAGGUCCCAAGGGUAUGGCUGUUCGCCAUUUAAAGUGGUACGCGAGCUGGGUUUAGAACGUCGUGAGACAGUUCGGUCCCUAUCUGCCGUGGGCGCUGGAGAACUGAGGGGGGCUGCUCCUAGUACGAGAGGACCGGAGUGGACGCAUCACUGGUGUUCGGGUUGUCAUGCCAAUGGCACUGCCCGGUAGCUAAAUGCGGAAGAGAUAAGUGCUGAAAGCAUCUAAGCACGAAACUUGCCCCGAGAUGAGUUCUCCCUGACUCCUUGAGAGUCCUGAAGGAACGUUGAAGACGACGACGUUGAUAGGCCGGGUGUGUAAGCGCAGCGAUGCGUUGAGCUAACCGGUACUAAUGAACCGUGAGGCUUAACCUUACAACGCCGAAG
This 1610-nucleotide ribosomal RNA is filed under the name Escherichia coli. RNAcentral's name for it is "partial 23S ribosomal RNA". It matches the Rfam family "Bacterial large subunit ribosomal RNA", at positions 1349 to 2925 of the family's 2925-position model. The record is from RNAcentral. Lineage: Bacteria; Pseudomonadati; Pseudomonadota; Gammaproteobacteria; Enterobacterales; Enterobacteriaceae.